CACGUAGGGGGCAAGCGUUGUCCGGAUUUAUUGGGCGUAAAGAGCUCGUAGGCGGCUCAGUAAGUCAGGUGUGAAACCUCCAGGCUCAACCUGGAGACGCCACCUGAUACUGCUGUGGCUAGAGUCCGGUAGGGGAGCGUGGAAUUCCUGGUGUAGCGGUGAAAUGCGCAGAUAUCUGGAGGAACACCGGUGGCGAAGGCGGCAUCCUGGACCGAUAUUGACGCUGAGGAGCGAAAGCCAGGGGAGCAAACGGG
RNAcentral lists this ribosomal RNA (254 nucleotides) under uncultured bacterium. RNAcentral describes it as "partial 16S ribosomal RNA". It matches the Rfam family "Bacterial small subunit ribosomal RNA", at positions 524 to 776 of the family's 1533-position model. The record is from RNAcentral.